UGGGGAGUAGCCAAGUUGGUUAAGGCACCUGACUCUGACUCAGGCAUCCGUGGGUUCGAAUCCUCCCUCCCCAGCCA
This 77-nucleotide transfer RNA is filed under the name Acetonema longum DSM 6540. RNAcentral describes it as "tRNA-Gln". It matches the Rfam family "tRNA". Rfam says of the family: Transfer RNA (tRNA) molecules are approximately 80 nucleotides in length. Their secondary structure includes four short double-helical elements and three loops (D, anti-codon, and T loops). The record is from RNAcentral. Lineage: Bacteria; Bacillati; Bacillota; Negativicutes; Acetonemataceae.